This 73-nucleotide transfer RNA is filed under the name marine sediment metagenome. Its description in RNAcentral is "tRNA-Ala". It matches the Rfam family "tRNA". From Rfam's summary of the family: Transfer RNA (tRNA) molecules are approximately 80 nucleotides in length. Their secondary structure includes four short double-helical elements and three loops (D, anti-codon, and T loops). Further hydrogen bonds mediate the characteristic L-shaped molecular structure. tRNAs have two regions of fundamental functional importance: the anti-codon, which is responsible for specific mRNA codon recognition, and the 3' end, to which the tRNAs corresponding amino acid is attached (by aminoacyl-tRNA synthetases). tRNAs cope with the degeneracy of the genetic code in two manners: having more than one tRNA (with a specific anti-codon) for a particular amino acid; and 'wobble' base-pairing, i.e. permitting non-standard base-pairing at the 3rd anti-codon position. The record is from RNAcentral.
GGGGGAGUAGCUCAGUUGGGAGAGCGUUGCCCUUGCAAGGCAAAGGCCGCCGGAUCGUAGCCGGUCUCCUCCA